AGUGAACGCUGGCGGUAGGCCUAACACAUGCAAGUCGAACGGCAGCACAGUAAGAGCUUGCUCUUACGGGUGGCGAGUGGCGGACUGGUGAGGAAUACAUCGGAAUCUACUUUUUCGUGGGGGAUAACGUAGGGAAACUUACGCUAAUACCGCAUACGACCUACGGGUGAAAGCAGGGGAUCUUCGGACCUUGCGCGAUUGAAUGAGCCGAUGUCGGAUUAGCUAGUUGGCGGGGUAAAGGCCCACCAAGGCGACGAUCCGUAGCUGGUCUGAGAGGAUGAUCAGCCACAAUGGAACUGAGAAACGGUCCAGACUCCUACGGGAGGCAGCAGUGGGGAAUAUUGGACAAUGGGCGCAAGCCUGAUCCAGCCAUACCGCGUGGGUGAAGAAGGCCUUCGGGUUGGAAAGCCCUUUUGUUGGGAAAGAAAAGCAGCAGGUUAAUACCCCGCUGUUCUGACGGUACCCAAAGAAUAAGCACCGGCUAACUUCGUG
Molecule: ribosomal RNA, 492 nt
Filed under: uncultured bacterium
Lineage: Bacteria
Description: partial 16S ribosomal RNA
Rfam family: Bacterial small subunit ribosomal RNA
Source: RNAcentral